RNAcentral lists this ribosomal RNA (16 nucleotides) under Eimeria tenella. Its description in RNAcentral is "large subunit ribosomal RNA (LSUC)". The record is from RNAcentral. RNAcentral also lists the same sequence under 31 other names. Lineage: Eukaryota; Apicomplexa; Conoidasida; Eucoccidiorida; Eimeriidae.
GAUAGCGUUAUAGCUC